AUGAUUCAGUUUUACAAAAUCAAUCGGUUGUCUUUUGGGCUAAAUAAUGAAAAACUAUCGCCAACAGAAUGUGAUACAACGCCAAGUCAACCGGCCCAUAGGAUGGUAGUUAAUUAACAUGUCAAACUUCCCCAGUCGCAGGUUGAGGCUGAUCUCGCCAAUGAAGGAGCGGUAGACCAAUUGGAGCUCCGCCUUCUUGGCUAAAGCAAGAUUAAGAAUUAAACAUGUGUAAUAGAAGUAUCAGGAAUUCAGAAUGGUAGUUGGCGCAUAUGGAAUGGAUUUGAUGGCCGAAAAUUGUGUACCCUGUGAAGAAUUAAUUACUGGUUUUAAGUUUUAACUGCAUACUGUUAUCAUUUCAGGGAAAGGUGAUCUUCAGAAGAGCUGAGUAAGGCUGCAGCAGAAGGUUCAUUUUCCCUUUUGUGAGGUGCCAUAACUUUCUGGUGUCUGUUGAAGGACAAAGAUUAUAAAUGACAUAUAUUGCAGGAAAAUGACA
Long non-coding RNA from Oryza sativa Japonica Group (Japanese rice), 493 nucleotides. RefSeq lists it as uncharacterized. The record is from RefSeq and is a predicted model, not a curated record. NCBI's taxonomy places the organism in Eukaryota, Viridiplantae, Streptophyta, Magnoliopsida, Poales, Poaceae.